Molecule: non-coding RNA, 154 nt
Filed under: Uruburuella suis
Lineage: Bacteria; Pseudomonadati; Pseudomonadota; Betaproteobacteria; Neisseriales; Neisseriaceae
Source: RNAcentral
UCAACCGACAUUCAUCCUUGCCGGCCAUUAAACACUUUAAUCUUUUUUCUGUUAAGCCAACCCGGAGUGCGCGUAUCGAGCAGAUUGUUCCCUUUACAUCAAAUACUCAAAACCGAAACACAAACCCGCUGCCUGAAACAGCGGGUUUGUGCUU